GUGCUCCUACGGGGGGCAGCAGUGGGGAAUAUUGGGCAAUGGGCGCAAGCCUGACCCAGCAACGCCGCGUGAAGGAAGAAGGCUUUCGGGUUGUAAACUUCUUUUAAGAGGGAAGAGCAGAAGACGGUACCUCUUGAAUAAGCCACGGCUAACUACGUGCCAGCAGCCGCGGUAAUACGUAGGUGGCAAGCGUUGUCCGGAUUUACUGGGUGUAAAGGGAGCGCAGGCGGGAAGCCAAGUCAGCUGUGAAAACUACGGGCUUAACUUGUAGACUGCAGUUGAAACUGGUUUUCUUGAGUGAAGUG
Molecule: ribosomal RNA, 305 nt
Filed under: uncultured bacterium
Lineage: Bacteria
Description: bacterial SSU rRNA
Rfam family: Bacterial small subunit ribosomal RNA
Source: RNAcentral